UACGGGGGGGGCAAGCGUUGUUCGGAAUUACUGGGCGUAAAGGGCUCGUAGGUGGCCAACUAAGUCAGACGUGAAAUCCCUCGGCUUAACCGGGGAACUGCGUCUGAUACUGGAUGGCUUGAGAUUGGGAGAGGGAUGCGGAAUUCCAGGUGUAGCGGUGAAAUGCGUAGAUAUCUGGAGGAACACCGGUGGCGAAGGCGGCAUCCUGGACCAAUACUGACGCUGAGUGAGCGAAAGCCAGGGGAGCAAACGGG
Molecule: ribosomal RNA, 254 nt
Filed under: uncultured bacterium
Lineage: Bacteria
Description: partial 16S ribosomal RNA
Rfam family: Bacterial small subunit ribosomal RNA
Source: RNAcentral